RNAcentral lists this ribosomal RNA (579 nucleotides) under uncultured fungus from ectomycorrhizal root. RNAcentral's name for it is "eukaryotic LSU rRNA". The stretch from base 208 to 362 matches the Rfam family "5.8S ribosomal RNA". The record is from RNAcentral. Lineage: Eukaryota; Fungi.
UCAUUAUCGAAUUGUUGACACGAGUUGUUGCUGGCCUUCGAAAGGGGGCACGUGCACGCUCUGUUUACACAUCCACCCACCCCUGUGCACCUUUUGUAGUUCUGUGGUCUGGAGGCUCUGCUUCCCUUCUGUGGUUCUACGUCUUUACACACACACACGUGAAAGAAGUCUUGUGGAAUGUACGCCGCGUUUAACGCAAUACAAUACAACUUUCAGCAACGGAUCUCUUGGCUCUCGCAUCGAUGAAGAACGCAGCGAAAUGCGAUAAGUAAUGUGAAUUGCAGAAUUCAGUGAAUCAUCGAAUCUUUGAACGCACCUUGCGCCCUUUGGCUAUUCCGAAGGGCAUGCCUGUUUGAGUAUCAUGAACACCUCAACUCUCACGGUUCCUCGUGAUGAGCUUGGACUUGGGGGCUUUGUUGGCCUGUAGGUCAGCUCUCCUCAAACGAAUCAGCUCGCUGGUGUCUGGCGGCGUCAUGGGUGUGAUAACCGUCUACUCUUGUGAUCGCCUGCAAAGUAAACCUCUGGUCUGCAGAGGUUCACCGGAGCUUAUAGAUGUCUCUCCUCAGUGAAGACAGCUGU